GACGUAGGGGGCGAGCGUUGUCCGGAAUUAUUGGGCGUAAAGGGCUCGUAGGCGGUUUGUCGCGUCGGGAGUGAAAACAUCCAGCUUAACUGGGUGCUUGCUUUCGAUACGGGCAGACUAGAGGUAUGCAGGGGAGAACGGAAUUCCUGGCGUAGCGGUGAAAUGCGCAGAUAUCAGGAGGAACACCGGUGGCGAAGGCGGUUCUCUGGGCAUGAUCUGACGCUGAGGAGCGAAAGUGUGGGGAGCGAACAGG
RNAcentral lists this ribosomal RNA (253 nucleotides) under uncultured bacterium. RNAcentral describes it as "partial 16S ribosomal RNA". It matches the Rfam family "Bacterial small subunit ribosomal RNA", at positions 524 to 776 of the family's 1533-position model. The record is from RNAcentral.